GGCGGGGCCAGGUGUGUGGGCGUGGCCUGUCUGACCCCGCCCCUCCGCAGGAGGCGGGGCGGGCGCUGUGGGCGGAGCUUGAGGCCGCUCGGGCGGCCAAGGCGGGGGCGGAGCUCCGGGCCCGGGAGGUGGAGGCGCAGUGCCGGGCCCGGGGGGCGGAGCUGGAGCGGCUGCGGCAGGCGGUGCAGGCGGCCCGGCAGUCCCGGCGCCGGGCGGAGCAGGAGCGGGACCGGGUGGCGGCGGAGCUUGGCCACGCCCCCCGCGCCAGCGCCCCCGCCGGUGACCCCGCGGCGCUGGAGGAGCUGCGGGAGCAGAACCGGGACCUGCGGGAGCGGCCGGGACAGCGGCGGGGACAGGUGGGGACAGCGGGCACACCUGGGCACACCUGGGCACACCUGGGGGGACCUGGGGACACCUGGGGGGACCUGGGGACACCUGGGGAUACACCUGGGGACACCUGGGGAUACACCUGGGCACACCUGGGGGACACCUGGGGGCACCUGGGGGGACCUGGGGACACCUGGGGGGACCUGCGGGAGUGGCUGGGGCAAGUGGGGACACCUGGGAGGACACCUGGGUGGACCUGGGGGGACCUGGGGGGACACUGUGGGGGACAUGGGCACAGGUGUGGAUGCACCUGUGGGUGCCACGGGGACAGGUGUGGGUGCCAUGGGGUGCCGUGAGCACGGGUGUGGCACAGGUGUGGCACAGGUGUGGCACAGGUGUAUCACAGGUGUGUCACAGGUGGCACAGGUGUGUCACAGGUGUGUCACAGGUGUGGCACAGGUGUAUCACAGGUGUGUCACAGGUGUGUCACAGGUGUGUCACAGAUGUCACAGGUGUCUCAGGUGUGUCACAGGUGUGUCACAGGUGUGUCACAGAUGUCACAGGUGUCUCAGGUGUGUCACAGGUGUGUCACAGGUGGCACAGGUGUGCCACAGGUGUCACAGGUGUGUACAGGUGUGGCACAGGUGUGUCACAGGUAUCACAGGUGUGUCACAGGUGUGUCACAGGUGUGUCACAGGUGUAUCACAGGUGGCACAGGUGUCACAGGUGUGUCACAGGUGGCACAGGUGUCACAGGUGUGCCCAGCCCCUGCCCCACACUCUCCCGCAGGUGCAGCAGCUGCGGCGGGCCCGGGACCGCCCCGGGAGCCCUGGGACCACCGGGAUAACCGGAACCACCGGGACAACAACCGGGACAACAACCGGGACCACCGGGAUAUCAACUGGGAUAACCGGGACAACCGGGAUAACAGACGGGAUAACAGCCAGGACCACCGGGAUAACAACCGGGAUAACCGGGAGCACCGGGAAAACCGGGACCACCGGGAUAACCGGGACUCCCGGGAUAAGCGGGAUAACCGGGAUAACAACCGGGAUAACAACCGGGACCCCCGGGACUCCCGGGAUAACCGGGAGCGCCGGGAGCGCCGGGAGCGCCGGGAUAACCGGAACCACCAGGAUAACCGGGAUAACCGGGACAACAACCGGAAUAACCGGGAUAACCGGAGUGACCAGGAGCACCGGGACCCCCGGGACCGCCAGGAUAACCGGGAUAACAACCGGAAUAACCGGGAUAACCGGGAGCACCAGAAUAACCGGGAUAACCGGGAGCACCAGGAUAACCGGGAUAACAACCGGGAUAACAACCGGGAUAACCGGGAUAACCGAGUCCGCCCUGCGCGCCCGCUGCGCCCGCCUGGAGGAACUGCUGCGGAACGAGGCGGGGGCGCGGCUGGCGCUGGCCCGUGCCGCGCGUGUCACCGGGCGCCGCGUGCGGCUCCUGAUGGCCGAGGCUGAGGAGGAGCGGCUGAGAGGGGAGCGGUACCGGCAGCAGGUGGGACCCGUGUCACCUGUGUCACCUGUGUCACCUGUGUGUCACGUGUGUCACCCCUGUGUCACCUGUGUCACCUGUGUGUCACCUGUGUCAUCUGUGUCACCUGUCACCUGUGUGUCACCUGUGUCACCUGUGUGUCACCUGUCACCUGUGUGUCACCUGUGUGUCAUCUGUGUGUCACCUGUGUGUGUCACCUGUGUCACCUCUCACCCGUGUCACCUGUGUCACCUCUGUGUGUGUCACCUGUGUCACCUGUGUUACCUCUGUGUCACCUGUGUCACCUGUGUCACCUGUGUGUUACCUGUGUCACCUCUGUGUCACCUGUGUCACCUGUGUGUCAUCUCUGUGUCACCUGUGUGUGUCACCUGUGUCACCUGUGUCAUCUGUGUCUCACCUCUGUGUCACCUGUGUGGGUCACCUCUGUGUGUCACCUGUGUCACCUGUGUCACCUGUGUGUGUCACCUGU
Taeniopygia guttata (zebra finch) is the source of this 2305-nucleotide long non-coding RNA. The record is from Ensembl. NCBI's taxonomy places the organism in Eukaryota, Metazoa, Chordata, Aves, Passeriformes, Estrildidae.